This 22-nucleotide small nuclear RNA is filed under the name Arabidopsis thaliana (thale cress). RNAcentral describes it as "snRNA_18660". Lineage: Eukaryota; Viridiplantae; Streptophyta; Magnoliopsida; Brassicales; Brassicaceae. The record is from RNAcentral.
ACUGUUCUUUAGACGACUUGAA